UACAAACCUUGUUUUUGUUACUGAAGUUUAUGUAGGAAUAAGUGUGGGAGAUCUGGGUCAGUACUGAAUUGGUGUUUUUAUGCAGAAUGGAGCUGAUACAAAUUUGUAAUUUUCAGUCUGUAGGAAGUUCUGAAUGCCGUGGUUUGUUUUCAGCUCAGGAUAGGAAGCAAUGCACUUUCAAAAGCAAGUCCUGAAUGCAGCUUUGUUUAAACUGGCACACUGAUGGCAAAAAUUGCCUAUAAUAGCACAACAUAAUUUUUCCAAUGGCUGCUUUGCUAUGUAAGACUUUAUUAUGGUGCAUUCUGGACACCUUCAGUGUUUGCAGGAGGAAUAUGCAGGAGUGUAACACCUGCAUCAUGAUCCCACUCUGGAAAAUGGAAAUACCAUUUGUUCUACUGGUGUGCAGGAAGUGUGAUUUGGCAUAUCCAAGUGGCUUUUAGGUGAUUGCAGCUUUCCAAGAACUGACUUUAUGGAACUUUACUUUGGUGCGACAGAGUUAAACCUCUGUGGCUCUAUAUUCUGAUUCGUCAGGAAUCAUCCUCAUUCAUUUUCCAUUUUAGUUCAUAAUCCACAAACUAGGAGUAUUGGUAAACCCUGUUUAGCUUUUCAGACAUCUGGAAGGUGUUAGCAUGAUUUGGCUUACAGUGCUUCUGAGUCUGCAGGAAGUACUGGGCAGAACUCUGGCUUUUUGGCCCACUGAAGAGCAGGUUGUGUCUUCAGACUUCUCUUGAUUUUGGACAGGCAGAGUGUAGCAAUGCCUGCAGUUUAAUUGACAGCUCAAGUGGAGAUACUUGUGGUUCAGUGCUCUCAGAAGUCAAAUAUAGGGAAAAAAUUGUUUUCUAACUGAGUGGCAUUCAAAAGAACUUUCUGGUCUCACUAAUGCUGCUUACAGUUCAUGUCACUACACUUUAGUGGUAAACUCCAGUAGGCAACACCUUUGAUUCCUUCAUCCAGUGGCUGAAUGGACAGUCAUCCUCAUACAUGGUCCUGAAGAAAAUCUGUGGUAGUCUGUAAGAACACACUGUUCCCACCCCUAAGUGGCACAAAGGCUGCAAAGGGGCUUCUGGUUGCAGAGGAUGGGAUAAGAACAGAAGGUACUCAAAGCUGUGUUAGGGUUCUGGUGGUCCUCAGAAUCUGAACUGGGUUUCAGGAAGGAGAUGUUUUGCUGCUCAGCUUCUUGUGAUCAAAGGAUGGGGCUUUAUGUGUCUCGCUGUUUCUCCUUAUUGAAUCUGGAAUGUUCUAAGCAAAACUUGCUAAAUAAAGAAGAUUGAAUACAACUCACAAUUCAGAGAAAAUGAGAUAACAGAUUAUAGAACACCAGACAAACAUGGAAGUAUUGAAUAAUUAUGUAGAUUGUUGCAGGAAAUGUUGUAUGAAAUGUAAUUGCAGGUUUCAUGCACAUUUUAAAGCUCUCUUAGCAGGUUUUAUUUUCAAAUAGGAAUGAUUAAAUACAAUUUUUCAAUAUUUUCACAUGAUUAAUGUAACAGGCUGAUUUUUCUUUGAGUACGUCAUAAAUACCAUCCACAUUGGUGUGCUAAUAUAUGGAGAAUUUUAUUGCUGCAGCGCUUUAUGAAAUUAUUCUUUGGGAAAUUAUAGAUAGUCAAUGAAUAAUUCAAGGGAAAGAAUAAACCAAAAUCUAAUAAAUUCUGUGUAUGACUGAA
Neopsephotus bourkii (Bourke's parrot) is the source of this 1661-nucleotide long non-coding RNA. RefSeq lists it as uncharacterized. The transcript has 4 exons. NCBI's taxonomy places the organism in Eukaryota, Metazoa, Chordata, Aves, Psittaciformes, Psittacidae. The record is from RefSeq and is a predicted model, not a curated record.